This is a long non-coding RNA of Thunnus maccoyii (southern bluefin tuna), 1027 nucleotides long. RefSeq lists it as uncharacterized. The transcript has 3 exons. NCBI's taxonomy places the organism in Eukaryota, Metazoa, Chordata, Actinopteri, Scombriformes, Scombridae. The record is from RefSeq and is a predicted model, not a curated record.
GCAGGUGCCUGUCCACACCUCUUCCUCACUAUCCUUCCUUGGAUGAUCCUGGUGUGUAGUGGCUGCAGCCUGCCGUGGCGGAGCAGUGUGGGCAUUUUGGCGUGACUGCUUGCCGCUAACGUGCUUCACUGUUAUUCAAACGUAAUGAGCUCUGCCAGUGCGCAGUCGGUGCUGUGUGAGCACUGGUAACGCUGGUGUUUUUGUGGGUGUGUGCAGCUGACUAUUGGUAUGGAGGGACUGCUUGACCCGCUCGGGGCCCCGGCGUGGUCGCUUCUUGUUUCCCUUGUUUCCCUCGGCGUUGUCCGCCUAUCUUUAACAACUGUGCGUGUGGCUCUCAGCUGACUGACAUGUUGAUCGCUCCCUUGCAGCAAAGCAAAGCUCCAGACCAACUUCUCCCUCCUAUCGUCGGGGAGGCUGUGCAGGUGCUCGCUGAGGCUGUAGAGGUACGUGGCUUAGCACUGGCCACCACUCCUGUCAUGAAGUGACUGUUGCAUGUCAUUGCAGCCCCGAACCAGUAGAGGGCUCUGGUUCCACUUGCCAUUAAGGGGGAUUAUGUAAAGUCUUAAGCAGAAUGUUAUGGCAGUAACCAAAAGAAGUUGUAUCCCCAUGUUGCUCAUGUUAUAAUGUGGUUAUGGCCGUUACUACAUUAAAGCCAGCUCAACUGAAGACAAGUGUCGUAUCUGAUGACGUGUACCCUAAGAUACCACAUAUGGCGACGAGUCUGCAGCAAGACGACGAGAGCCGUGCAAGUUUAGUGCUGGGGACCCAGGCAGCAGUCCACUCCCCUGGUGGUGGGUUUCCUUCGCACCCCCAAUUUUGUUUGCUGUGUCACGGGUAGUUUUCUUUUGUUGUGAAUUCCCUUGCCUUGGUUUGAUCCCUGCUGCCAGCCCUGUCUUCAACCCCUUUUUGGUUCGUCUUUCUGUGCCAUUAAUUCUUGGGUUACGCCCUGGUGGCUGACAUUUUUAGCUAAUUACCUUUUUUUGUUUCUUUUUCUCAUAUUUUGUCUAAUAAAUUAUUUUUAAUUGAA